GAGGGGCCCCGGCGCUGGCCGGGGAGCGCGCUUCUGCGGACUUUGAAACUGCUUUUGUUUGUUUUUCUUUCUUUCUUUCUUUUUUUUCCCCGCCGCACCUGCGGCAUAUGGAAAUUCCCGCUCGGGGGCAGGGCGAAUAAGAGCCGCAGCUGCGACCUACACCACAGCUGCGGCCGUGGGAGCCUUCCCCCCGCUGCGCCUGGCGGGCAGCCCAGGCAGCCUCGGAGAACAGCGACUCCCGGGCCCACUGCGCCUGGCCCGGGUCCCGCGCUGCGGCAGAGCCAGCCGGGAUCCUUGCCUCGGCGGCGCCGCCGCACAACUCCUGCCACGGCUGCUUUUAAGGGGUCAUGGAACAGGAAGCUCUACCACACUCUGGUUCAUGAGGAACUUUGAAAUGUUUGCUGAAAAUGGCAAUGAGGAACAAAGUUUUUCAGAAACAUUCUAAGCUCAUCCAGUGUGAGCUACCAUUAUACUACAGUUGAACUGACGCUGCAGUUCUAGGAGAUGGUGUGUUAGAGUCACAAACACAUCUCAGAGGCGAGACCCCCUCCCAGCCAUCAGUCUUACCUAGCCUACGAUCCUGGCAGGAAGAAGGCGUCGGAUGACUAUUUUGCUAAGUCAAAAGAGACUGUGAGGGGAGAAGGAAGAGAUGCUCACAUCUCCAACAGGGACUCCUCUAGGGGAGAAACUAAACCAGUGGAAAAAGUCACAGAGGCAGGAGGAAUCAUUCCUGAGAAAUGAACUGCGUUUGUGGAGAUAAACGACAGGCCCUAAACACCACCCUAAACCCUGACCGCUGUUAAUAUAGUUUAAUGUAAUCCUCACUGAUGGUGGUGGUCUGUGUAGCAUUUAAUCUGAUAUUAAAGUUAUUCCAGGAAGUUCCUGUUGUGGCUUUGCAGUAAUGAGCCCAACUAGUGUAUCCACAAGGAUGCGGGCUCCUUUCCUGGCCUUGCUCAGUGGCUUAAGGAUCUGGCAUUGCUGUGAACUGGGGUGUAGGUUGCAGAUGAGACUCAGACCUGGCAUUGCUGAUGUAUGCCAGUGUGGCUCGGUUCCCACAUUGCUGUAGCUCCAACCUGACCUCCUAGCCAGGGAACUUCCAUGUGCCACAGGUUUGGCCCUAAAAGGCAAAAAAAAAAAAAAAAAAAAAAAAAAA
Molecule: long non-coding RNA, 1153 nt
Filed under: Sus scrofa (pig)
Lineage: Eukaryota; Metazoa; Chordata; Mammalia; Artiodactyla; Suidae
Description: lncRNA (ENSSSCG00060017435.1)
Source: RNAcentral